CCUACGGGAGGCAGCAGUGGGGAAUAUUGCACAAUGGGGGAAACCCUGAUGCAGCGACGCCGCGUGAGUGAAGAAGUAUUUCGGUAUGUAAAGCUCUAUCAGCAGGGAAGAAAAUGACGGUACCUGAUUAAGAAGCCCCGGCUAACUACGUGCCAGCAGCCGCGGUAAUACGUAGGGGGCAAGCUUUAUCCGGAUUUACUGGGUGUAAAGGGAGCGUAGACGGCAGCACAAGUCUGGAGUGAAAUGCCUGGGCUUAACCCCGGAACUGCUUUUGAUACUGUGCAGCUAGAGUGCAGGAGAGGUAAGUGGAAUUCCUAGUGUAGCGGUGAAAUGCGUAGAUAUUAGGAGGAACACCAGUGGCGAAGGCGGCUUACUGGACUGUAACUGACGUUGAGGCUCGAAAGCGUGGGGAGCAAACAGGAUUAGAUACCCCGGUAGUC
This 440-nucleotide ribosomal RNA is filed under the name uncultured bacterium. RNAcentral's name for it is "partial 16S ribosomal RNA". It matches the Rfam family "Bacterial small subunit ribosomal RNA", at positions 338 to 795 of the family's 1533-position model. The record is from RNAcentral.